ACAAAAGGCCCAUUCUUAUUCUGCUGUUCAUUUCUUCCCUCACCAUGUAGCCCGCACUCAAAACCAUAAACUGCCCAAUUUUAUUUUUCGUUUUUUACUUUCCCUGCAAAUUUCAUGGAUUUGCGAGCUUCACAUCUCCUCAUUUUCAAUAACACUAGAGUUAAAUAGAAAUUGGAUUGAUUUGAUUUCGGUUCAGCCGAAAACAAAAAUAGAUGAACUCAAACUCGAGGCCUUUGACGUUCUGCUGAGACAGUUGGGGUUUCAUCAUUCAGAGUCUGAUUCAAUUGCGGCACCGACACCGGCACCGGUCUGUCGUCUGGCUGCUUCUACUUCAAUCGAUCGCCCAGUCACUUAUAACCUUUUCAUUUCUUACCGGCUUACUGUUCUUUAUUGAUGAUUUGUGCGGACAUGGUUUGUUGAACAAACUAAUGAUCCAAGUAGAGAAGGUUGCUGAGGAGAAGCUUCGUCCCCGAGUUAACCAGACUAGAGACUUGACACUUACAAGAAAAAAUGGGUUAUGUAGGAGCACAUGGAGUUAUAGCUCUGCACAUAUACAAAUACAGUGGGGUUGAUACCAGUCUUGAUGUAAUUAGUAGCAGUAUUUUGAAUUUCCUCAAUUUUUGAGAAAGCAGACACCGGCCUCCUCUUCCUGCUGAUCACGUGAAACUGUGGAAUGAAUUUGAAGAUGGAGAGGGUUCUCCAAGGACACUUGUUAAGGGGCAUGGUGGUCGAGGAGGGGGCAGGGGUAGGGGUAUGAAUCUCUACUUCUGGACAGUUACUUAAAUUACAUCAUGCUGUAUGCUUUCAAAUGGGCGUGUAUUAACUUCCAUUUCAAAUUGUAUAUUACAAGUCCUUCUGUAAAUUGAAGCUCAAAUCGGUAUCACAAAAGCAAAACAGGUUAAAGUACUCAAUAUUUUGAGCUUAUUAUUAUAUCUGAUUUCAGAAAAUUUGUUGCAUUCACAUUCAUUUCAAGAAUUUUAGUAUUGUUGCUCAAUUAAUUGGAUACGAAAAAGUAAAAAAGGGGUUUAGAUGCCUUUGACCUUUGCCUUUAUUGGAAAGCUCUGCAGAUUAUUUUGAGGGAGGUUUACUUCUUAUAUGUACAUAUCUGGCAACUAAAUACAGUGGCUGAAAUGAUCAUAAUCUGCUCGUUUAAUGUGCCAAGUAAAUUAAAAUGGUGCAAAAGAUAAGAUUCGUGAUGGUUGGGAUGGUGAACGUGGUGCUGGUGGCGGCGAUCGGGGACGUGCAAGAGGUCUUCUUCUCAAGGUAGAGGAUGGGGUUAUGGUGGUCGAUCAAGUGGAUAUUACAAUUAUCGUGAAUAUGAUGCCCCACCUCCACGAGGUUGUGGGCGUGGUCAUGGUAAGGGAUGGGGACGUGGCCGUGGUUGCAAUCCCAGAUCGGCAAUAGCUGCAUAGGCAUGGAAAGUUGCUGAAGUAUAAAAAUUAAGGUGUGAGGUUGAAAAAUGAUAAGUGGAUGCCUACUCUGCUUUUACUUGAAGUUUGGUGAUAUUUAUGGGCAUUGUCUUUCAUUUCAAAUUGUGAAGUUUCGCGACUACAGUGCUUGCAUUUUUUAAUAAGUAGAUUGUUGUGGCGUAGGAACAUCUCUUAGUUAUUCAAUUUUGAUAAGUUUUUGGCAUAGCAAGUUACAAGAUUGUACAAUUUUUCCCCUUUCAUAGGAAUAAUAGAGCAGUACAUUCUUUCAUUCUUAA
Mangifera indica (mango) is the source of this 1705-nucleotide long non-coding RNA. RefSeq lists it as uncharacterized. NCBI's taxonomy places the organism in Eukaryota, Viridiplantae, Streptophyta, Magnoliopsida, Sapindales, Anacardiaceae. The record is from RefSeq and is a predicted model, not a curated record. The transcript is spliced from 4 exons.